This 443-nucleotide ribosomal RNA is filed under the name uncultured bacterium. RNAcentral describes it as "partial 16S ribosomal RNA". It matches the Rfam family "Bacterial small subunit ribosomal RNA", at positions 338 to 795 of the family's 1533-position model. The record is from RNAcentral.
CCUACGGGUGGCAGCAGUGGGGAAUAUUGGGCAAUGGAGGAAACUCUGACCCAGCAACGCCGCGUGAAUGAUGAAGGUCUUCGGAUUGUAAAGUUCUUUUCUACGGGAAGAAGAACGUGACGGUACCUUAGGAAUAAGCCUCGGCUCACUACGUGCCAGCAGCCGGGGUAAUACGUCGGAGGCGAGCGUUAUCCGGAAUGACUGGGCGUAAAGGGUGCGUAGGUGGUUAGGCAAGUUAGUAGCGUAAAGCCAAGGCUCAACCUUCGCUCUACCGAUAAAACUGUUGGACUUGAGUGCAGGAGGGGCAACCGGAAUGCCUGGUGUAGCGGUGGAAUGCGUAGAUAGUAGGAGGAACACCAGUGGCGAAGGCGGGUUGCCAGACUGUAACUGACGCUGAGGCACGAAAGCGUGGGGAGCGAACAGGAUUAGAUACCCGUGUAGUC